CCGCCAUUAGCUUAUCAGGAAGAGCAGACGACACGAUAACAGGGUUGUUGGUGCGGGGGCGAGUCCCCGAUGGCGGUCCA
This 80-nucleotide transfer RNA is filed under the name Escherichia coli. RNAcentral describes it as "tRNA-OTHER". Lineage: Bacteria; Pseudomonadati; Pseudomonadota; Gammaproteobacteria; Enterobacterales; Enterobacteriaceae. The record is from RNAcentral.